UCCUUUGCCUAUUUUUAAGUUGAGUAAUGUAUCUUACUUAAUUGUGAGAGUUCUUUAUAUAUAUUAAAUACAAGUCCCUGAUCAGAUAGAGGUAUACAGAUGUUUUCUUCCCUUCUGUGGGUUGUAUUUUCACUUUAUGUUAUCCUUUGAAACACAAAAGUUUUCAAUUUUGAUGAAGUCCAAUUUCUUUUUUCUUUUGCUACUUUCGGUGACCCUUCUAAGAAAGCAUUGCUUAAUUCCAAGUCAAAAAGCCUUUAUCUUCUAAGAGUUUUGUAGUUUUAGUUCUUAUAUUUAGGUCUUUGAUCCAUUGAGUUAAUUUUUGUAUGUGGUAUGAGGUAGGAAUCCAACUUCUUUUUCUUCUUCUUCUUCUUCUUCUUUUUUUUUUUUACAUGUGGCUGUCCAGGUCCUAGCACCUUUGGUUGAAAAGGCUGUGCUUUCUCCUAUUGGAUUGUCUUGACACUCCUACUGCAAAUCAAUUAUGGAUGUCAGAGUUUAUUUCUGGAUUUUGAAUUCUAUUCCAUUGAUCUAUAUGUCUGUCUUAAGUCACACUGUCUUGAUUAUUGUAGCUUUGUAGUAAUGGCAUAGCUCUUUGAUGAAUGGUUUCUGUAAGUGUGUUUUCUAUGAAGUACUCUUGGUGACAAACUAAUUGGGGACAUUUGACCAGCAAAUCAUUAAUGUGUGUAAUCAUAAUAUGGCUUCACUUAGGCAAGGAUGUUCAGUUCUAAAUUUGUCUUCACUAACUCCCCAAUUCCUUCUUUGCCUCUUUACACUGUACCCUGAUAACUCCAGCAUACUCGUCUUAUACCCAGAUUAUGUAAGACUUUGCUGUACUACUUGGGAGAGGCAGAGACCCAUCCCCACUGUCACAUUUGCCAGUAUUGUCCUUCUCUUUCCAAGACAGUACAGGAAAAGUGAAGCUAAUUAACCUGAUAAAUCAUUUGUAUCAGGAUGUGUAUUGGUGCAGUGAGAAAAUUUUCAGACAAGCCUUUGAUAUCAACUAUCAAAUAUUUUACUGUGUUCACCCACAUCUCUCAGAGAAGGUGUCUCAUUGCAGAUUCUCCAUGCGGUGGGAGAGAGUGGCAUGCUGUGAGGUAGUAUGUAGAAGCAAUCCUUUUGAGGAUCAUUACCUACUUGAAAGCUCCCUGUGGAUAUAAGCUAUAUCAUGCAUAGUUAUAUCCCUAAUACCAGAAUAAGAAAAUGAGAAAUGUGACCCAAGUGUCCAAUGUUUUAUUCUGAAAAGGAGCUACAAAGACGUGGGCUUGGUUUGCUUUUCAGCUGAGAACACAGGAACAAUUUCCCUUGACAGGUUGAAGAUGAUGAGCGGUUUCUGUUGUGGGUGGUUGAGCGUGCAGUGGUCAGUGUGAGGUCCACCUCCCACCUGCCUUUAGACUCCGCGGGCCCGCCGGACCUCUUGGAGGGUGCUGGGCUUUGCCUCUGUCAACUGGGUGAAGCUCUUGCACACUGACGCAACAUCUGCUUCACAGCACCUGCUUUCUUCCAGGGAAGCCUGUAAAUUUACAUUUAAAAAUCUGUCUGUCUACAAAAACUGUCACCGGGCUACACAGCAACAUCACCCAGGUGCAGGGGCUUGAUUUUUUGGUUUCUCAUCACUGCAUUUAGAGUCCACAAAUAAAUCGGCUUGGGACCAA
Mustela erminea (ermine) is the source of this 1649-nucleotide long non-coding RNA. RefSeq lists it as uncharacterized. The transcript has 2 exons. The record is from RefSeq and is a predicted model, not a curated record. Lineage: Eukaryota; Metazoa; Chordata; Mammalia; Carnivora; Mustelidae.